This is a long non-coding RNA of Rosa chinensis, 1247 nucleotides long. RefSeq lists it as uncharacterized. NCBI's taxonomy places the organism in Eukaryota, Viridiplantae, Streptophyta, Magnoliopsida, Rosales, Rosaceae. The transcript is spliced from 2 exons. The record is from RefSeq and is a predicted model, not a curated record.
AGAGGAUUAGAGCUGGAAUGGAUAAGUAUAAGAACCAGAUCCGUUGUCAACUCCUCUACCACCACCAAUACUCAGAUGCAAACUCACCUCCUCUUCUCUACCCCAACCUGACCCUGACCCUGACCCAGGGCCUCCACAGCCAACCCCUUUUCUAUCUCACUCUCCUCCAAGCCACCGCCAAAGCUUCACUCUUCAAGCCCAACAACCCGGCGGAGCUUUCUCUUCGAGGUCAAAGCCACGACGUCGCGGCUCUCCGGUCUUCUUUCAUUUUGGAUAGCUCCGUUGAGUGUAGGUAAAUCGAAGUCGAAUUCAGCGCAACUAGUGGGCCAACGCAGUGGAAGAGAGAGACUAAGGAGGGAUGUCGAGCUCCUGCCGCCGCCGCCGGAGACUAAGAGAUUGAGCGUGGGAUGUUUGGGUUCGAUCAGAUCGCACUGAGGAGGAUACAAGCCUGGUGUUCAUAUUUUGAUUGAAGAAGGAUGGUGGUAGUUUGGUCAAGAUCCAAAGAUGCCCAUUGUUAUAAUCUUGUAUGAUUAUGCAUAUCCCACCUCUCCAACAGGAGAGUUAUAUCCUACCUUGACAAGAUUUAAUUUCCAAUCCUAGAGUAAACUGAACCACCAAACACUAGCUUGGAUUUUUUUAGUCCUAUCCAAUUAUUAAUCCAGAAGUUUGUAGCCGUCAAAAUGAUGGAGGUUCCGGGAAGGCGGUCAAUGCACCACUACAUGUCCUCGACACAGCGAACCUCGAAGCACACGCCGCAAAUUUGGCCACUCUCAAUCGAACAGCGCCCCACCAUUGCCAUUCCGAAAUUGGCUUUCAUCAAGUAGCAAUAGCCGCACGGCCUGCCCACAGCUUCGGGUCGGUCUCCACCACCUCCACUCAGAAGCAGGUUCAGAUCUUCCAAGUUGAAAUUCCGGCCAUUAUCACCAGCUCCGGUUAUUUCUAAGCUUACCAGUUCGAGUGAUGUAAGGUUAUAGCUUAGGGAGGAUGGAGUAAUGAGAUGUUGAUAAGGGUGAUAGAUUAUGUUUCACUGUCAUUAUGUGGAAGUAGAUGAAGGCUUGGAGGUUAUGGUGUUACACAUUGGCGCUGGGAGAUGGUGAAUUCUAUUCUAUUGCGUUUAUUCCAAAGAAAGAGGAGAUGUUGGUGUGUGGGUUUAUUUUGAGUCUUAAAUAAUGGGUGGGGAUUUAAUGCAUGUUGUUGUUUAUGUCCAUAAGUUUCAUUUUAGGGAUUUUUUUUCCUUCUGUUUUGAC